AUUGAACGCUGGCGGCAGGCCUAACACAUGCAAGUCGAGCGGAUGAAGGGAGCUUGCUCCUGGAUUCAGCGGCGGACGGGUGAGUAAUGCCUAGGAAUCUGCCUGGUAGUGGGGGAUAACGUCCGGAAACGGGCGCUAAUACCGCAUACGUCCUGAGGGAGAAAGUGGGGGAUCUUCGGACCUCACGCUAUCAGAUGAGCCUAGGUCGGAUUAGCUAGUUGGUGGGGUAAAGGCCUACCAAGGCGACGAUCCGUAACUGGUCUGAGAGGAUGAUCAGUCUCACUGGAACUGAGACACGGUCCAGACUCCUACGGGAGGCAGCAGUGGGGAAUAUUGGACAAAGGGCGAAAGCCUGAUCCAGCCAUGCCGCGUGUGUGAAGAAGGUCUUCGGAUUGUAAAGCACUUUAAGUUGGGAGGAAGGGCAGUAAGUUAAUACCUUGCUGUUUUGACGUUACCAACAGAAUAAGCACCGGCUAACUUCGUG
RNAcentral lists this ribosomal RNA (484 nucleotides) under uncultured bacterium. Its description in RNAcentral is "partial 16S ribosomal RNA". It matches the Rfam family "Bacterial small subunit ribosomal RNA", at positions 30 to 507 of the family's 1533-position model. The record is from RNAcentral.